AGGGCACCACCAGGAGUGGAGCCUGCGGCUUAAUUUAACUCAACACGGGAAAACUCACCCGGCCCGGACACUGGAAGGAUUGACAGAUUGAGAGCUCUUUCUUGAUUCAGUGGGUGGUGGUGCAUGGCCGUUCUUAGUUGGUGGAGUGAUUUGUCUGGUUAAUUCCGAUAACGAACGAGACUCUAGCCUACUAAAUAGAUCGUCGGCUUACAAACGCCGGCGAGACUUCUUAGAGGGACAGGCGGUGAUUCAACCGCACGAAACAGAGCAAUAACAGGUCUGUGAUGCCCUUAGAUGUCCGGGGCCGCACGCGCGCUACACUGAAGUGAUCAGCGUGCUUUUUCAACCUACUCUGUCAAGAGUGGGGAACCCAAUGAACCUUCUUCGUGAUUGGGAUAGGGGAUUGUAAUUAUUCCCCUUGAACGAGGAAUUCCCAGUAAGCGCGAGUCAUAAGCUCGCGUUGAUUACGUCCCUGCCCUUUGUACACACCGCCCGUCGCUACUACCGAUUGAAUGUUUU
This 519-nucleotide ribosomal RNA is filed under the name uncultured eukaryote. RNAcentral describes it as "SSU rRNA". It matches the Rfam family "Eukaryotic small subunit ribosomal RNA", at positions 1161 to 1699 of the family's 1831-position model. The record is from RNAcentral.